GAGUUUGAUCCUGGCUCAGAACGAACGUUGGCGGCGUGGAUUAGGCAUGCAAGUCGAACGAGAAAGAGGGAGCAAUCCCUUGAGUACAGUGGCGAACUGGUGAGUAACAGGUGGGUAAUGUGCCUCUUAGUGGGGGAUAACUCUUGGAAACAGGAGCUAAUACCGCAUACGGCCCAAAGAGCGUCGGCUUUUUGGGUUAAAGGAGUGAUUCGCUAAGAGAUCAGCCCGCCCCCGAUUAGCUUGUUGGUGGGGUAACGGCCUACCAAGGCUAUGAUCGGUAGCUGGUCUGAGAGGAUGGUCAGCCACACUGGGACUGAGAUACGGCCCAGACUCCUACGGGAGGCAGCAGUCUAGAGGCUUCCGCAAUGGACGAAAGUCUGACGGAGCGACGCCGCGUGCGGGAUUGAAGGCCGUAAGGUUGUAAACCGCUGUCAGCAGGAAAGAAUACCCGAAUGGCGAAUUCGGGGGUGACGGUACCUGCAGAGGAAGCCCCGGCUAACUCCGUGCCAGCAGCCGCGGUAAUACGGGGGGGGCAAACGUUGUUCGGAAUUACUGGGCGUAAAGGGUGCGUAGGCGGCUUGGUAAGUCUGGUGUAAAAUCUCCUCGCUCACCGAGGAAACUGCACUAGAUACUGCUAAGCUCGAGGGUGGGAGAGGCAGGUGGAAUUCCUGGUGUAGCGGUGGAAUGCGUAGAUAUCAGGAAGAACACUCGUGGCGAAGGCGGCCUGCUGGACCACUCCUGACGCUGAAGCACGAAAGCCAGGGGAGCGAACGGGAUUAGAUACCCCGGUAGUCCUGGCUGUAAACGGUGGACACUAGGUGUCGGGGGUAUCGACCCCUCCGGUGCCGCAGCUAACGCGUUAAGUGUCCAGCCUGGGGAGUACGACCGCAAGGUUGAAACUCAAAGGAAUUGACGGGGGCCCGCACAAGCGGUGGAGGAUGUGGUUUAAUUCGACGCAACGCGAAGAACCUUACCAGGGCUUGAACUGCACGGUAAACCCUUCGAAAGAAGGGCUGCUUCGGCGAUCGUGUAGAGGUGCUGCAUGGCUGUCGUCAGCUCGUGUCGUGAGAUGUUGGGUUAAGUCCCGCAACGAGCGCAACCCUUGUCUCUAGUUACCAGCGGUUCGGCCGGGGACUCUAGAGAGACUGCCGUCGUAAGGCGGAGGAAGGUGGGGAUGACGUCAAGUCCUCAUGGCCCUUAUGUCCU
RNAcentral lists this ribosomal RNA (1206 nucleotides) under metagenome. Its description in RNAcentral is "bacterial SSU rRNA". It matches the Rfam family "Bacterial small subunit ribosomal RNA", at positions 9 to 1210 of the family's 1533-position model. The record is from RNAcentral.